RNAcentral lists this non-coding RNA (32 nucleotides) under Rattus norvegicus (Norway rat). Lineage: Eukaryota; Metazoa; Chordata; Mammalia; Rodentia; Muridae. The record is from RNAcentral.
UGCUAAUAUUUGCCUAAAUAUUUCCUUGGCUC